Molecule: ribosomal RNA, 799 nt
Filed under: Lactiplantibacillus plantarum
Lineage: Bacteria; Bacillati; Bacillota; Bacilli; Lactobacillales; Lactobacillaceae
Description: bacterial SSU rRNA
Rfam family: Bacterial small subunit ribosomal RNA
Source: RNAcentral
UAACUCCAUGUGUAGCGGUGAAAUGCGUAGAUAUAUGGAAGAACACCAGUGGCGAAGGCGGCUGUCUGGUCUGUAACUGACGCUGAGGCUCGAAAGUAUGGGUAGCAAACAGGAUUAGAUACCCUGGUAGUCCAUACCGUAAACGAUGAAUGCUAAGUGUUGGAGGGUUUCCGCCCUUCAGUGCUGCAGCUAACGCAUUAAGCAUUCCGCCUGGGGAGUACGGCCGCAAGGCUGAAACUCAAAGGAAUUGACGGGGGCCCGCACAAGCGGUGGAGCAUGUGGUUUAAUUCGAAGCUACGCGAAGAACCUUACCAGGUCUUGACAUACUAUGCAAAUCUAAGAGAUUAGACGUUCCCUUCGGGGACAUGGAUACAGGUGGUGCAUGGUUGUCGUCAGCUCGUGUCGUGAGAUGUUGGGUUAAGUCCCGCAACGAGCGCAACCCUUAUUAUCAGUUGCCAGCAUUAAGUUGGGCACUCUGGUGAGACUGCCGGUGACAAACCGGAGGAAGGUGGGGAUGACGUCAAAUCAUCAUGCCCCUUAUGACCUGGGCUACACACGUGCUACAAUGGAUGGUACAACGAGUUGCGAACUCGCGAGAGUAAGCUAAUCUCUUAAAAGCCAUUCUCAGUUCGGAUUGUAGGCUGCAACUCGCCUACAUGAAGUCGGAAUCGCUAGUAAUCGCGGAUCAGCAUGCCGCGGUGAAUACGUUCCCGGGCCUUGUACACACCGCCCGUCACACCAUGAGAGUUUGUAACACCCAAAGUCGGUGGGGUAACCUUUUAGGAACCAGCCGCCUAAG